GAUGAACGCUGGCGGCGUGCCUAAUACAUGCAAGUCGAACGCAUAGCGAAAGGUGCUUGCACCUUUCAAGUGAGUGGCGAACGGGUGAGUAACACGUGGACAACCUGCCUCAAGGCUGGGGAUAACAUUUGGAAACAGAUGCUAAUACCGAAUAAAACUUAGUGUCGCAUGACACAAAGUUAAAAGGCGCUUCGGCGUCACCUAGAGAUGGAUCCGCGGUGCAUUAGUUAGUUGGUGGGGUAAAGGCCUACCAAGACAAUGAUGCAUAGCCGCGUUGAGAGACUGAUCGGCCACAUUGGGACUGAGACACGGCCCAAACUCCUACGGGAGGCUGCAGUAGGGAAUCUUCCACAAUGGGCGAAAGCCUGAUGGAGCAACGCCGCGUGUGUGAUGAAGGCUUUCGGGUCGUAAAGCACUGUUGUAUGGGAAGAACAGCUAGAAUAGGAAAUGAUUUUAGUUUGACGGUACCAUACCAGAAAGGGACGGCUAAAUACGUG
RNAcentral lists this ribosomal RNA (497 nucleotides) under uncultured bacterium. Its description in RNAcentral is "partial 16S ribosomal RNA". It matches the Rfam family "Bacterial small subunit ribosomal RNA", at positions 28 to 507 of the family's 1533-position model. The record is from RNAcentral.